UACGUAGGGGGCAAGCGUUAUCCGGAUUCACUGGGUGUAAAGGGAGCGUAGACGGCGACGCAAGUCUGGAGUGAAAGCCCGGGGCCCAACCCCGGGACUGCUCUGGAAACUGCGGCGCUGGAGUACGGGAGGGGCAGGCGGAAUUCCUGGUGUAGCGGUGAAGUGCGUAGAUAUCAGGAGGAACACCGGCGGCGAAGGCGGCCUGCUGGACCGUGACUGACGUUGAGGCUCGAGAGCGUGGGGAGCAAACAGG
Molecule: ribosomal RNA, 253 nt
Filed under: uncultured bacterium
Lineage: Bacteria
Description: partial 16S ribosomal RNA
Rfam family: Bacterial small subunit ribosomal RNA
Source: RNAcentral